Molecule: RNA transcript, 1835 nt
Organism: Oxyura jamaicensis (ruddy duck)
Lineage: Eukaryota; Metazoa; Chordata; Aves; Anseriformes; Anatidae
Gene: NDEL1
Gene name: nudE neurodevelopment protein 1 like 1
Exons: 11
Source: RefSeq, a predicted model, not a curated record
GCCCGGAUCAGGCGGUUCCGAGGCCGGGCGGCUGCAGCGGGCGAUGCGCCCCGGACGUACUGACCAUGGACAGUGAAGAAAUCCCAACUUUUUCAAGUCCGAAGGAGGAAACUGCGUAUUGGAAAGAGCUCUCCUUGAAGUACAAGCAAAGCUUCCAGGAAGCUCGUGAAGAGCUGGCUGAAUUUCAGGAGGGAAGCAGAGAGUUAGAAGCUGAGUUGGAGGCACAGCUAGUGCAAGCUGAGCAGAGGAAUAGGGAUUUGCAAGCAGAUAACCAAAGACUGAAAUAUGAAGUGGAAACAUUAAAGGAGAAACUGGAGCACCAGUAUGCACAAAGCUACAAGCAAGUGUCGUUGUUAGAGGAUGACCUGAGCCAGACAAGGGCCAUUAAAGAUCAGCUACAUAAGUAUGUGAGGGAGCUGGAACAGGCCAACGAUGACUUGGAGCGUGCAAAGAGGGCAACAAUAGUUUCAUUGGAGGACUUCGAACAAAGGCUGAACCAGGCCAUUGAGAGAAAUGCGUUUUUAGAAAGUGAACUGGAUGACAAGGAAUCAUUGCUAGUUUCUGUUCAGAGAUUGAAGGAUGAAGCGAGAGACUUAAGGCAAGAGCUAGCAGUACGGGAAAGGCAACAAGAAGUCACCCGAAAGUCUGCACCUAGUUCUCCGACUCUAGACUGUGAAAAGAUGGAUUCAGCUGUCCAGGCGUCUCUCUCCUUGCCAGCCACACCUGUUGGAAAAGGAUCAGAAAAUAGUUUUCCUUCCCCAAAAGCUAUUCCAAAUGGAUUUGGUACCAGCCCUCUCACUCCUUCAGCUAGAAUAUCUGCACUCAACAUUGUGGGAGAUCUCUUACGGAAAGUGGGGGCCUUAGAAUCCAAAUUAGCUGCUUGCAGAAAUUUUGCAAAGGAUCAGGCAUCACGGAAAUCCUAUAUUUCAGGGAACGUUAACAGCAGCAUGAUAAACAGCAAUGGUGCAAAGUACCCUCACCCAGGACAUACUUCCUUCUUUGACAAAGGCCCCUGUACUCUCUUCCCUGCCCCAAAUUGUCGCUGGAGCCUGAAUCAGCCACGCGUGCUCGUAGACCCGGUCCAAUCUGCAGCCGCUGCCUUAUGAACAGCCAGUUGUUGGGUGGUGGGAUUGUGACAGAGGCGUGAAAAGGUCAUAUUCCCCACCUUGGUCAUGGGGCAGUAAAUGGCUUUGAUCAAGGUUCCCCUGGACUGGGAGCCUCCAGACCUUCAUCAGCACCUGGCAUGCUCCCCCUGAGCGUAUGAGUCAGCGCGAGGUUGUGUUUGGACUUGCGGAUGCUUUUCUCAGCCCACCAAGAGAAGAACUGCUUCAGUUUCCUCCCCAUUCCCUGCCCCGCUGGAACAUGACCUGCCCCAUGCUGUGCAGCAGUACCUGCCUGGCUGCUGCUGGAGGAGGCCCUGUGCUCGCAGCCCCUCGUGUCUUGUUAAUAGUUAACUUUCUCCUGUUGCUGUAGUGGACAUGUUCUGACUUGGCCCCACGCCACGUCGCACAAGCUGAGCUGCGUAGUGCUCUGUUUCAGGGGCUGCAAAACCUUGGCCAGGUGCUCCUUGACCUGUCACUUUAUCUCUUCUCUAACUUAGGUUUGGCGUGACAAAAAAAUUUGCCACUUUUCUUAAAGGCCACCCAUCUUGCUGCCUGCCCCUUCCACCAUCCUGCCACUUCACCAUGCAGCUGCUCUCCUCCCCAGCAGCCUCAAACUUCUCAAAGCAGAUGCGGGGUCAGGUGAGGGAGGCGAUGAGACAUUUGUACCUGGGGAUCAGGUCUGGGUCUGUAACAGAGUUACUGCAGCUUAAUGAAUUACAGCUGGGCAGGGUG